GUGCAGCAGGCGAGAAACCUUCGCAAUGCGGGAAACCGCGACGAGGGGACUCCCAGUGCCUACGCUCAGCGUAGGCUGUUCCCGAGCCUAGAAAGCUCGGGGAGUAAGGGCUGGGUAAGACGGGUGCCAGCCGCCGCGGUAAUACCCGCAGCCCGAGUGGUGGCCACUAUUAUUGGGCCUAAAGCGUCCGUAGCCGGCCCGGUAAAUGCCUGGGUAAAUCGUGAGGCCUAACCUCACGAAUUCCGGGUAGACUGCCGGGCUAGGGACCGGAGGAGGGAGAGGGUACUCCAGGGGUAGGGGCGAAAUCCUGUAAUCCCUGGAGGACCACCGGUGGCGAAGGCGCUCGUCCUAGGACGGGUCCGACGGUGAGGGACGAAAGCCAGGGGAGCGAACCGGAUUAGAUACCCCCGUAGU
This 414-nucleotide ribosomal RNA is filed under the name uncultured microorganism. Its description in RNAcentral is "bacterial SSU rRNA". It matches the Rfam family "Archaeal small subunit ribosomal RNA", at positions 330 to 745 of the family's 1478-position model. The record is from RNAcentral.